Molecule: non-coding RNA, 114 nt
Organism: Biomphalaria glabrata
Lineage: Eukaryota; Metazoa; Mollusca; Gastropoda; Planorbidae
Source: Rfam
GUAGGCUAUGGAGACAUGAUGCCGAUAGGAGUCUGGGGAAAAUUAGUAGGGUCACUCUGCGCUAUAGCCGGUGUGCUGACCAUCGCUCUUCCAGUCCCUGUGAUCGUUUCUAAC